AAUGGGGACUAGUAUCAACGGCAUCACGAGGGUCCUACUGUCUCCUCUCUCCAAUCAAUGAAACUGAUCUCUCCGUGAAGAAGCGGGGAUUUAACUAUAAGACGAGAAGACCCCAUGGAGCUUUAAACCCGACUACACCUCCACCUCUUAUACCCACAUAAUCAACGGAAUACUGUACAUCGGUUUUGGGUUGGGGUGACCACGGAGCACAAACUAACCUCCAUGAUGAAUAAGACUAACCCUUUAUCUAAGAGACACAUCUCUAAGAAUUAGCACACUAACAUAAAAUGAUCCGAUAUUCGAUCAACGAACCAAGUUACCCUGGGGAUAACAGCGCAAUCCACUUCAAGAGCCCCUAUCCACAAGUGGGUUUACGACCUCGAUGUUGGAUCAGGGUAUCCUAGUGGUGCAGCAGCUACUAAAGGUUCGUUUGUUCAACGAUUAA
Molecule: ribosomal RNA, 445 nt
Filed under: Spinomantis peraccae
Lineage: Eukaryota; Metazoa; Chordata; Amphibia; Anura; Mantellidae
Description: partial 16S ribosomal RNA
Rfam family: Bacterial large subunit ribosomal RNA
Source: RNAcentral